RNAcentral lists this long non-coding RNA (211 nucleotides) under Helianthus annuus (common sunflower). Its description in RNAcentral is "sRNA HanXRQr2_Chr12g0530911". Lineage: Eukaryota; Viridiplantae; Streptophyta; Magnoliopsida; Asterales; Asteraceae. The record is from RNAcentral.
UCACACAACCCAUUUAUGGGCGUGUGUGUGUGUGUACGAGCAGAGGAGAAGAAAAGAGGGGGAGCCCUUCUCAAACCCUAAGCAACGAAUUGGAAGGAUUCUGGCCGAAAUCGAACCUGCAUGAACCUUAAUAGUGAUAAUCUAAGCAAGAUGUAACCAAGGUUUUGAUAGUAAUAUGAUGAACGUGUCAAGGAGAGCUCAAGCAUAGGAG